GACGAACGCUGGCGGUAUGCUUUAACACAUGCAAGUCGAACGAGAAGUCUUUUAUUGAACCUUCGGGGGAUAUAAGAGACAGACAGUGGCGAACGGGUGAGUAACGCGUGGGCAACCUACCUAUCGGAGCGGGAUAGCCUCGAGAAAUCGGGAGUAAAACCGCAUAACACGGAUAUAUCGCAUGAUGAAUCCGUCAAAACUCCGGUGCCGAUAGAUGGGCCCGCGUCUGAUUAGCUAGUUGGUAAGGUAAGGGCUUACCAAGGCAACGAUCAGUACCGGUCUGAGAGGGCGAACGGCCACACUGGAACUGAGACACGGUCCAGACUCCUACGGGAGGCAGCAGUGGGGAAUAUUGCGCAAUGGGGGCAAACCCCUGACGCCAGCAAAUACCGCGUGAGUGAAAGAAAGCUUU
RNAcentral lists this ribosomal RNA (412 nucleotides) under Pseudoramibacter alactolyticus. RNAcentral describes it as "bacterial SSU rRNA". It matches the Rfam family "Bacterial small subunit ribosomal RNA", at positions 28 to 418 of the family's 1533-position model. Lineage: Bacteria; Bacillati; Bacillota; Clostridia; Eubacteriales; Eubacteriaceae. The record is from RNAcentral.